Molecule: unclassified non-coding RNA, 424 nt
Filed under: Hevea brasiliensis (rubber tree)
Lineage: Eukaryota; Viridiplantae; Streptophyta; Magnoliopsida; Malpighiales; Euphorbiaceae
Source: RNAcentral
GUGGAUCCAUUUUCAUCUUCUCCAAAAUUUCCCUCCGGCAAACAGUUCUCUAAUGGCGGCAGAUAAAUUCUCCCGGAAUCUAUAAAUUUACUGCAAAUCAAAAAAAAGUUUCAGAAAUAGAGAAUACACAGUGAGACUAUUAGUAUGGCCGACGAUGAAGCAGAGAUGUACGACGGAGCUAGGGCACAGUUCCCGUUGUCGUUUGGUAAGCAAGCUAAAUCUCAAAAAUCUCUCGAACUUGUUCACAACGCUACUCGCCGGAACAACACCUCCUCCGUUACUCAAACUGCCGACGGUAAACUCGAGCCAUCACCUUUCCCUUCUUUAUCAUCUUCCUCCAAAUCCUGGCUUAAUUCCCUCAAAAACCCUAAAUCUAGUCAUGAAUCCAAUUCUAAGUCGAAGAUUAUCGGGCCGAGUCGUCCUA